GACGAACGCUGGCGGCGUGCUUAACACAUGCAAGUCGAACGGAAAGGCCCUGCUUGCAGGGUACUCGAGUGGCGAACGGGUGAGUAACACGUGGGUGAUCUGCCCUGCACUUCGGGAUAAGCCUGGGAAACUGGGUCUAAUACCGGAUAUGACCUUCCAUGUAGUGUGGGGGGUGGAAAGAUUUAUCGGUGUGGGAUGAGCCCGCGGCCUAUCAGCUUGUUGGUGGGGUAAUGGCCUACCGAGGCGUCGACGGGUAGCCGGCCUGAGAGGGUGGACGGCCACAUUGGGACUGAGAUACGGCCCAGACUCCUACGGGAGGCAGCAGUGGGGAAUAUUGCACAAUGGGCGGAAGCCUUAUGCAGCGACGCCGCGUGGGGGAUGACGGCCUUCGGGUUGUAAACCUCUUUCGACAGGGACGAAGCUUCGGUGACGGUACCUGUAUAAGAAGCACCGGCUAACUACGUG
Molecule: ribosomal RNA, 465 nt
Filed under: uncultured bacterium
Lineage: Bacteria
Description: partial 16S ribosomal RNA
Rfam family: Bacterial small subunit ribosomal RNA
Source: RNAcentral